AUUUAACCUACGUUCGAUUUAUAAUUUUGAAUAGAGAAAAAUUAGAUGAUACACUUUACAUUAUGAGUAUGAUUUCUAAUGAAAAUGUGUUUACGGAAAGAAAAAUAUGGUAACAUCAUAGUAAAACCAAUACAUUCUUCGCUGCGCUCAGAAUCUAAAACAACUUAAUUUUAAAAAAAUGAUUAGCGUUAUUGAACUGACAUAAUCAGUGAAAAAAAAAAUGUCCAAACUUACAUGCUCUUCAGUCUAAAGUUACAUUUUGUUAAUAUAUUUUCAAAUCUAAAAAUUAAAAAAAAAAAAAUCGAAUUUUGUAGUCGCAAGAAUUAUAUUGUUUCGGAGUAUUAAUUUUAUAACACAUAAUCUGUGAAGAAAUAUACAUUUUUAUUUUUUUGUCUACGGAUAUUACUGCGAAUUUUUAUAAUUUAAAAUAUUUUUAACCAGGCGAAUUAAAA
Cinara cedri is the source of this 452-nucleotide non-coding RNA. NCBI's taxonomy places the organism in Eukaryota, Metazoa, Arthropoda, Insecta, Hemiptera, Aphididae. The record is from the annotation of a GenBank genome assembly.